UUUGCUUAAAAGGCAACAAGCAAAAAAGAGAGUGCAGUUGCGUAUUUGGAGCUAAAGGAACAGUGGUGUAAAUGCACAGGGCCGAAUUUACUUUAGCAAUCAACUAACAAAAGAAAACACAUGCCUUUUGAAUUAUUCAACUCAUGAUUUAAUAACCAAAGUUAAUAGAUAAUUCUAGAUUCAUUUGAGCACAAGAUUAAAUUAUUGAAACUAUUCAAGCAUGAACACCUACUUAAGAUCAAGACAUAUGAACACCUAACUCCAUGUCAUUAGCUCCUAAUCUGGAGUUGUCUCUCGGGUCUCGGCCGAUGGAAAUGACGAGAUCAGCUGUUGCUGCGUGCGUUCAAGAGUAAAGAAGCAGCAGCGCCUCCUCACUUUUCAUGCGUAUGUGCGUCGUGGUGUGCGUGUGUGAAGCUCCGUUCAGUUGUGGGAGAAGGGAUCAUUUAGCGUGAAGUGAAGGAGUUGGAGCGAUAGCUUUUGCUUGGUUGCUAUUUCGUUCUGGUUUUGUAUAUGAGGAAGGCGAUGAACUCAUGGGGUGGGGGAGCACUAUGGCUGCGGCGCUGAUUUUUCUUUAGGCCUUCGAUUG
RNAcentral lists this long non-coding RNA (586 nucleotides) under Nicotiana benthamiana. RNAcentral's name for it is "long non-coding RNA (NBEN_LNC020221)". Lineage: Eukaryota; Viridiplantae; Streptophyta; Magnoliopsida; Solanales; Solanaceae. The record is from RNAcentral.